RNAcentral lists this ribosomal RNA (2111 nucleotides) under Escherichia coli. Its description in RNAcentral is "partial 23S ribosomal RNA". It matches the Rfam family "Bacterial large subunit ribosomal RNA", at positions 1 to 2136 of the family's 2925-position model. Lineage: Bacteria; Pseudomonadati; Pseudomonadota; Gammaproteobacteria; Enterobacterales; Enterobacteriaceae. The record is from RNAcentral.
GUUAAGCGACUAAGCGUACACGGUGGAUGCCCUGGCAGUCAGAGGCGAUGAAGGACGUGCUAAUCUGCGAUAAGCGUCGGUAAGGUGAUAUGAACCGUUAUAACCGGCGAUUUCCGAAUGGGGAAACCCAGUGUGAUUCGUCACACUAUCAUUAACUGAAUCCAUAGGUUAAUGAGGCGAACCGGGGGAACUGAAACAUCUAAGUACCCCGAGGAAAAGAAAUCAACCGAGAUUCCCCCAGUAGCGGCGAGCGAACGGGGAGGAGCCCAGAGCCUGAAUCAGUGUGUGUGUUAGUGGAAGCGUCUGGAAAGGCGCGCGAUACAGGGUGACAGCCCCGUACACAAAAAUGCACAUGCUGUGAGCUCGAUGAGUAGGACGGGACACGUGGUAUCCUGUCUGAAUAUGGGGGGACCAUCCUCCAAGGCUAAAUACUCCUGACUGACCGAUAGUGAACCAGUACCGUGAGGGAAAGGCGAAAAGAACCCCGGCGAGGGGAGUGAAAAAGAACCUGAAACCGUGUACGUACAAGCAGUGGGAGCACAGAGCAAUCUGUGUGACUGCGUACCUUUUGUAUAAUGGGUCAGCGACUUAUAUUCUGUAGCAAGGUUAACCGAAUAGGGGAGCCGAAGGGAAACCGAGUCUUAACUGGGCGUUAAGUUGCAGGGUAUAGACCCGAAACCCGGUGAUCUAGCCAUGGGCAGGUUGAAGGUUGGGUAACACUAACUGGAGGACCGAACCGACUAAUGUUGAAAAAUUAGCGGAUGACUUGUGGCUGGGGGUGAAAGGCCAAUCAAACCGGGAGAUAGCUGGUUCUCCCCGAAAGCUAUUUAGGUAGCGCCUCGUGAAUUCAUCUCCGGGGGUAGAGCACUGUUUCGGCAAGGGGGUCAUCCCGACUUACCAACCCGAUGCAAACUGCGAAUACCGGAGAAUGUUAUCACGGGAGACACACGGCGGGUGCUAACGUCCGUCGUGAAGAGGGAAACAACCCAGACCGCCAGCUAAGGUCCCAAAGUCAUGGUUAAGUGGGAAACGAUGUGGGAAGGCCCAGACAGCCAGGAUGUUGGCUUAGAAGCAGCCAUCAUUUAAAGAAAGCGUAAUAGCUCACUGGUCGAGUCGGCCUGCGCGGAAGAUGUAACGGGGCUAAACCAUGCACCGAAGCUGCGGCAGCGACGCUUAUGCGUUGUUGGGUAGGGGAGCGUUCUGUAAGCCUGUGAAGGUGUACUGUGAGGUAUGCUGGAGGUAUCAGAAGUGCGAAUGCUGACAUAAGUAACGAUAAAGCGGGUGAAAAGCCCGCUCGCCGGAAGACCAAGGGUUCCUGUCCAACGUUAAUCGGGGCAGGGUGAGUCGACCCCUAAGGCGAGGCCGAAAGGCGUAGUCGAUGGGAAACAGGUUAAUAUUCCUGUACUUGGUGUUACUGCGAAGGGGGGACGGAGAAGGCUAUGUUGGCCGGGCGACGGUUGUCCCGGUUUAAGCGUGUAGGCUGGUUUUCCAGGCAAAUCCGGAAAAUCAAGGCUGAGGCGUGAUGACGAGGCACUACGGUGCUGAAGCAACAAAUGCCCUGCUUCCAGGAAAAGCCUCUAAGCAUCAGGUAACAUCAAAUCGUACCCCAAACCGACACAGGUGGUCAGGUAGAGAAUACCAAGGCGCUUGAGAGAACUCGGGUGAAGGAACUAGGCAAAAUGGUGCCGUAACUUCGGGAGAAGGCACGCUGAUAUGUAGGUGAAGUCCCUCGCGGAUGGAGCUGAAAUCAGUCGAAGAUACCAGCUGGCUGCAACUGUUUAUUAAAAACACAGCACUGUGCAAACACGAAAGUGGACGUAUACGGUGUGACGCCUGCCCGGUGCCGGAAGGUUAAUUGAUGGGGUCAGCGCAAGCGAAGCUCUUGAUCGAAGCCCCGGUAAACGGCGGCCGUAACUAUAACGGUCCUAAGGUAGCGAAAUUCCUUGUCGGGUAAGUUCCGACCUGCACGAAUGGCGUAAUGAUGGCCAGGCUGUCUCCACCCGAGACUCAGUGAAAUUGAACUCGCUGUGAAGAUGCAGUGUACCCGCGGCAAGACGGAAAGACCCCGUGAACCUUUACUAUAGCUUGACACUGAACAUUGAGCCUUGAUG